This 300-nucleotide unclassified non-coding RNA is filed under the name fungal sp. Its description in RNAcentral is "partial contains small subunit ribosomal RNA and internal transcribed spacer 1". The stretch from base 1 to 46 matches the Rfam family "Eukaryotic small subunit ribosomal RNA", at positions 1786 to 1831 of the family's 1831-position model. Lineage: Eukaryota; Fungi. The record is from RNAcentral.
AAGUCGUAACAAGGUAACCGUAGGUGAACCUGCGGUUGGAUCAUUAACAAAUCCAAUUACAAGUCUAUGGGAAGGGGUGUCAAAGCUCUGGUACCGUAUUCUUGUUUUUAACACAAUGUGAACUGUAAUUGUCUCUGGUGUGGUUAAGAGUCUCGCUCUUUGGAGCGGGAUAGCCGGCGGACACUCGUGUCCAUUGGCUACCCACCGUUAUGAAUUUAAACUUUUUUACCUUUUGGUCUUUAAAACUAAAGUUUAGUGCUUUAAAUCUUAAUUUAAAAAACAACUUUUGGCAACGGAUCU